This 468-nucleotide ribosomal RNA is filed under the name uncultured bacterium. Its description in RNAcentral is "partial 16S ribosomal RNA". It matches the Rfam family "Bacterial small subunit ribosomal RNA", at positions 28 to 507 of the family's 1533-position model. The record is from RNAcentral.
GACGAACGCUGGCGGCGUGCUUAACACAUGCAAGUCGAACGGAAAGGCCCUGCUUUUGUGGGGUGCUCGAGUGGCGAACGGGUGAGUAACACGUGAGUAACCUGCCCUUGACUUUGGGAUAACUUCAGGAAACUGGGGCUAAUACCGGAUAGGAGCUCCUGCUGCAUGGUGGGGGUUGGAAAGUUUCGGCGGUUGGGGAUGGACUCGCGGCUUAUCAGCUUGUUGGUGGGGUAGUGGCUUACCAAGGCUUUGACGGGUAGCCGGCCUGAGAGGGUGACCGGCCACAUUGUUACUGGGAGACGGGUCAGACUCCUACGGGAUGCAUCAGUGGGGAAUCUUCCACGAUGGGCGGAAGCCUGAUGCAGCAACGCCGCGGGCGGGAUGACGGCCUUCGGGUUGUAAACCGCUUUCGCCUGUGACGAAGCGUGAGUUACGGUAAUGGGUAAAGAAGCACCGGCUAACUACGUG